CCUACGGGAGGCAGCAGUGGGGGAUAUUGCACAAUGGGGGAAACCCUGAUGCAGCGACGCCGCGUGUGGGAAGACGGUCCUCUGGAUUGUAAACCACUGUCCCCAGGGACGAAGAUGACGGUACCUGGGGAGGAAGCUCCGGCUAACUACGGGCCAGCAGCCGCGGUAAUACGUAGUGAGCGAGGGUUGUCCGGAAUGACUGGGUGUAAAGGGAGCGUAGGCGGGGAUGCAAGUUGGGUGUCAAGACGACCGGCUCAACUGGUAGUCGCACCCAAAACUGCAGCUCUGGAGUGAAGUAGAGGCAGGCGGAAUUCCUGGUGUAGCAGUGAAAUGCGUAGAUAUUAGGAGGAACACCAGUGGCGAAGGCGGGCUGCUGGGCUUUUACUGACGCUGAGGCUCGAAAGUGUGGGGAGCAAACAGGAUUAGAUACCCUGGUAGUC
This 440-nucleotide ribosomal RNA is filed under the name uncultured bacterium. RNAcentral's name for it is "partial 16S ribosomal RNA". It matches the Rfam family "Bacterial small subunit ribosomal RNA", at positions 338 to 795 of the family's 1533-position model. The record is from RNAcentral.